Molecule: ribosomal RNA, 380 nt
Filed under: Synopiidae sp. BOLD:ADF5955
Lineage: Eukaryota; Metazoa; Arthropoda; Malacostraca; Amphipoda; Synopiidae
Description: partial 16S ribosomal RNA
Source: RNAcentral
UGGUAUGAAUGGUUAAAUAUUUAUUUUCCUUUAAUUUUUUUUAAGUAAUAAAUUGUAAUUAAAAUAAAAAUAUUUUAAUUUUUUUAAGGGACGAUAAGACCCUAAAAGCUUUUAUAAAUUUUGUUUAUUUAUAUAAAAUUAGUAAUUAACUGGGGAAGUAGUAAUAAAUAAUUUUUUAUGAAAAAUUUCUUAUAUAAUAGAUAAAAUGAUUAAUUAAAUAAUUAAAGUUAGAUAUAGUUACUUUAGGGAUAACAGCAUAAUAAUUUUUUAAAGAUCAUAUUAACAAAAUUGAUUAUGACCUCGAUGUUGAAUUAAUUUUUUCUUUAGGGGCAAAAAAAAAAAAGAAAGGUUUGUUCAACCUUUAAAUAUUUACGUGAUUU